RNAcentral lists this long non-coding RNA (3039 nucleotides) under Mus musculus (house mouse). Its description in RNAcentral is "long non-coding RNA chr15:76577824-76580863". The record is from RNAcentral. Lineage: Eukaryota; Metazoa; Chordata; Mammalia; Rodentia; Muridae.
UUUAUGAAACCACUGGAGAGAAGUCUAGUUGAAUGUUUUUUUUCUUCUUUCUUUCUUUCUUUUUUUUUUUUUUUUUUUGGUUUUUCGAGACAGGGUUUCUCAGUAUAGCCCUGGCUGUCCUGAAACUCACUCAGUAGACCAGGCUGGCCUCGAACUUAGAAAUCCACCUGCCUCUGCCUCCCAAGUGCUGGGAUCAAAGGCGUGCGCCACCACUGCCUGGCAAAAUAUUAUUUAUUUACUUUUAUGAGUACACUGUAGCUGUCUUCAGACACACCAGAAGAGGGUGUCAGAUCCCAUUACAGAUGGUUGUGAGGCACCAUGUGGUUGUUGGGAUUUGAACCCGGGGCCAUUCUGGAAGAAUGGUCAGUGCUCUUAACCGCUGAGCCAUUUCUCCAGCCCGGAAUGUUUCUUUCUACAGACAGACUGUAUAUACGUUCAUUCUCUGUAAAAAGGCUGAAAACUACCAGGCACGGUGGCACAGCAUUUAGGAGGCAGAGGCAGGAGGAUUUCUAUGAGUCAAGGCCAGUCUACAGAGUGAGUCUCAAGCCACAUAGUGACAAACAAAACAAAACAAAAUAAAAACCCACCAAAACAAACCCAUGAGAACUAGGCACAGGUUGCCUCUGUAUGCCAUUCUGUCUAAACUGAAAGACGUGAAGGAGCUGUGUGACAGUUGGAGGUCAACGUCACCACAGGCUGGUGAGUAUGGACCUGCUUCAGUGUACCAGGGCACCAGUAUUCUCCUGGGGGGUGAAAAUGUACAGACACCCUCUGUCCGUUUGCCAGCAGCAUGGUGGUUUCCUUCUGGGCUGCUGCAGCCAACCAAGCUGUGGGCAUCACAGGGAUCUGGAGCGGGGGUCAUGGUAGACAGAGACACAAGCCGGGUUCACCUUGAGAAUAAAGUUUGUAUCCCCCCCACCCCACCCCACCCCACCCCACCUCCGUUGCUGUUUAUAUAAUGUUUAAUAACUCCAUGGCCCUGCAGGCAGUGCUAGAGCAAACAGUAUCUUUACGAUCCUUAUCUGAGUCUUCUGCACUUCCCUGCCCCUGUGGCCUUGUUUUGCCCUGAGGACACUCCUCUUUGACCUUAUCUCCUGCCUUCAUUUUUUUUUUCCACUGUCAGGGAAAUGACUUGAUGAGCCAGGGACCCUACGCCUCCUCUUGUUUGGAAUUUGGGUUUUGGCAAAGUCUGACUGUAGGCUUGGCCCACUCUCCCUUUUGGGGGGGGGGUUCAGCUUUUUUCUCAUUUGAUGGAGAUCAAGAGAUAGCCUAAAGGGUGGGUACUGGGUCUCCUGUCUCGGAAGGACCCAGGCAUUUGAGUAACCUCUGCAGUAACCCAGGGUGGUAGCUCUGGAGUUCUCAGCCCAGGGCUUUAUCUACUUGAUGACGUCAUGCCCAGAGUCAGACUGGCAUCUCCUACCUGACUGUGACCUUUGACUGUGAAUGAAUCCUGGUGGGGCAGAGAGUAUUAACAAGCGCCUCCUAAAAGAAUCUUUGUUCUAUCUACAUCCUUUGUGGGGGAAAGAUAGGAGGCAGCCUGAUAGGGGGAGGGACGGGCCUGCAAGAGCCUCCGGCAGUGGGUGAGGAGGCAGCGUGCUCCAGCCUCUGUUUCCUCACCAGAGCCCUGACAGUGGAGGCCAGUCACUGGGAGUCAGAAUGUCCUGUAUAAUAAAUACCAACAGGGGCCUUUCAUUGCAUUUGGGUUCUGAGUGUGCACAUCUAGAAGAGGGGUGUGACAGGUCCCCUUCCAGGGUAUUCUGGCUGGACUGACCUGGUCAGCCUUGUCCCCUCUGCAAUAUGCCUUCAGUAUGAGGUGCCAUCUAGAUUCCUAUGUCACCAGAAAACCCAAGGCGUCACUGACAACUAAUGCUGGGCAGAGGUAGCACCGGCUUCUUUUCAGACAAAGCUCCUGGCACUGCUCUGGGUCUUUCUGAAGAACAUGUUACCUUUUUUGGGUGGACAGUUUUGGUCCUAAACAGUGAGCUCUCUCAGCUUGGAGCUCUGGGCUGCCUCUUUGAAGUCAGCAUAGGGCCCUGUCCGCAGGCCCUUCCCGCUCAGCCCUGGCAUAAGGUACUUUUCCUGCUCGGUUCAGCCUAUGGCUCUGGGCAGGAUUUUGUGAGCCCGGGAAGAGCUGCAGUGUGUGAGGUGUCCUGGCUUCUGUUGUCUCAGGUAGCUGUUUCUAGCCUGACUUAUUCCCUCAGCUUCUGGUCUGUUCCUAGCAGUUUGUGCAUGGCAUCUGUCUGCGUGCUUCUGUGUACUCGGCAGUGACCUUCCUGAGACAGUGGCCCCUUUGAAGUUCUCAGCCAGUCCCAUCCCGGCCCCAGUUGUAGUGAAAGUCUUUCUGCAUUCUCAGGGUGUGACUGUCUGCUUGUGUGGUAAAUGGUCUCACUUUUCAGAGAAGAAAACUUUUUUUUUCCCCUGUUGGAAAAGCAGCAGGAGGUGGGUGGUGGACACUCACACCUUUUAAUUCCAGCAUGUGGGAGGCAGAGGCAGGCAGAUCUCUUUUGAGUUUGAGGUCAGCCUGGUCCACAGAGGGAGUCCAGGACACAGGGCUACAUAAAGAAACCCUGUCUCAGGGGAAAAAGAAAGAAAAGAGAAGAGAAGAAAAGAGAAGAAAAGAAAAGCCGGGGGCUGGUGAGAUGGCUCUGUGGGUAAGAGCACCCGACUGCUCUUCCAAAGGUGAGGAGUUCAAAUCCCAGCAACCACAUGGUGGCUCACAACCAUCCAUAACAAGAUCUGACUCCCUCUUCUGGAGUGUCUGAGGACAGCUACAGUGUAUUUACAUAUAAUAAAUAAAUAAAUAAAUAUUAAAAAAAAAAAAAAGAAAAAAGGAAAGAAAAGCCGGGCGUGGUGGUGCACGCCUUUAAUCCCAGCACUUGGGAGGCAGAGGCAGGAGGAUUUCUGAGUUCGAGGCCAGCCUGGUCUACAGAGUGAAUUCCAGGACAGCCAGGGCUACACAGAGAAACCCUGUCUCAAAAAAACAAAAAAAGAAAAGAAAAGGAAGAAAAAGAAAGAAAGAAAGGGAGAGAGAGAGAAGGG